RNAcentral lists this ribosomal RNA (253 nucleotides) under uncultured bacterium. RNAcentral's name for it is "partial 16S ribosomal RNA". It matches the Rfam family "Bacterial small subunit ribosomal RNA", at positions 524 to 776 of the family's 1533-position model. The record is from RNAcentral.
GACGUAGGUGGCGAACGUUAUCCGGAAUUACUGGGCGUAAAGGGCUCGUAGGCGGCCAACUAAGUCACACGUGAAAUCCCCAGGCUUAACCUGGGAACUGCGUGUGAUACUGGAUGGCUUGAAUUCGGGAGAGGGAUGCAGAAUUCCAGGUGUAGCGGUGAAAUGCGUAGAUAUCUGGAGGAAUACCGGUGGCGAAGGCGGCAUCCUGGACCGACAUUGACGCUGAGGAGCGAAAGCUAGGGGAGCAAACGGG